RNAcentral lists this ribosomal RNA (468 nucleotides) under uncultured bacterium. Its description in RNAcentral is "partial 16S ribosomal RNA". It matches the Rfam family "Bacterial small subunit ribosomal RNA", at positions 28 to 507 of the family's 1533-position model. The record is from RNAcentral.
GACGAACGCUGGCGGCGUGCUUAACACAUGCAAGUCGAACGGAAAGGCCCUGCUUUUGUGGGGUGCUCGAGUGGCGAACGGGUGAGUAACACGUGAGUAACCUGCCCUUGACUUUGGGAUAACUUCAGGAAACUGGGGCUAAUACCGGAUAGGAGCUCCUGCUGCAUGGUGGGGGCUGGAAAGUUUCGGCGGUUGGGGAUGGACUCGCGGCUUAUCAGCUUGUUGGUUGGGUAGUGGCUUACCAAGGCUUUGACGGGUAGCCGGCCUGGGAGGGGCACCGGCCACAUUAGGCCUGAGAUACGGCCCAGACUCCUACGGUAGGCAGCGGUGGAGAAUAUUGCACAAUGCGCGGGAGCCUGAUGCAGUCACGCCGCGUGCGGGAUGACGGCCUUCGGGUUGUAAACCGCUUUCGCCUGUGACGAAGCGUGAGUGACGGUAAUGGGUAAAGAAGCACCGGCUAACUACGUG